AGAUCGACCAACACUCAACUUAAUGGCUUUAUAUCAGCUGCACCACAAGUCCCAUUGCCCCCGACGAUGUGGAGAUGAAUGCGCUGGUAAUGACACGCCCGUCAGUCCUCAGCCUCUGCCCUAUUCUAAAACUGAAUUUGCACAAUGGCUUUUUGAAAGGCCUGUCACCGCUUCAGCGCCGCCUCUGUCGCACUUCUCUGUGGGAGCUGACAUUUUGCUGAUACUUCAUCAGGCUGGACUGCCUGCUGAGCGCCAGAUUGUCUCUAGAUCCUGGAAUUUAAAGAGGAGAAGUAAAGAUGAGGAUCUACUCUAUACCAGCCCUCACCACGUAAACUGGAUCCUCCUCUGCCCUUUGAAGUCGGGUACGUUGUUCAUACUUCUCUGAGCUGUUACGCUUCACACAGAAAACAAUUAGUGCUUGUGACUUAGUCGGAUGACAAAACCUCCCGUAGCACCCUGGUUCACACACACAGGCACCAUACAUCCUGCGGCAAUGGCCAUUGUUGGUGCAGUUACAUUUUCUUCUGCAAUUUUUCCCAAAGAACCCUUGCAAUCACCAUGGAGAGCAAAGAAUAAACAAAGCAAAUAUUAACCCACAUGCAAAACUUGCUGGAGUUGCUUUUAAGUGGAAUAAGAAGCUUGAAAAAGUUGAGAUAUUUCAUAUCUGGUAGGACUGAAUGAAGCAAGGGAGGUCUUCUGAGAACUACAGACAUUAUUCUGCAUCUUUUGCUCAAAAUUUUUCAGGGAAUUGCCUUUGCUCCAGAUUAAAAUCCCCAAAGAGCACUGAGCCCUUGCGCUGGCUGAGUCGUGUCACGCUGCUGUCUCUCUGUCUUUAUUCUGCCUUUGGGUUUUGCAGUGUCUCGCACACCUUCCUUCCUUGUCUCAAGUGCUCUUCUCUUCCUCUUGCCCUGUCUCAUUUCUUCUCAUUCUGCAUGCUUCUACUUAGAAGUCACUUCUCCAGAAGGCGCUCCUGGUCUGCAGCCCCAUCUCACUUCCAUCCCUGCAUUAACACUUAAUUUGUAAAACCUAUCAACUUCUGUAAAUCAAAAUCUUCCCCUUGCUUUACUGCUCUUCAUGCUUCACUUGGUUUCCUUACUCUUCUUCUCUAUCUCUGAUCUCACUGUGUUUUUCUUCUGCUGGUUUACCUCCCUCUGACAUCACAGUUCACAUCUGAGACCUGGGAGGACUCGAUACACUCCACCAUCUGCCGGAAGACUCCAGACUAAGUGCAUCUCAGUGGACACAGAGGGGAAAGCCUGCCCACCAGGAGACUGAGGAGGACAGCAGUGACUCCUAUGGCUGUGACCCCUCCAGUGGGGACGGUGGGCUGUGGAGACGGCUCUAGGAAGGGAAAGCAGGUGCAGGGUCCUGAUGCGCAGGUGUCACACAGCUGCCGAUGCACAGUGGCCUCCCAGCUGGUAGGCGCUGGGGUGGGGGCGCAAGGAACACAGCUCCUUCCAGCACCCAGUCAAGGAAGUCUUCCUGGGCUCUACGUCUGUCUUGAACAAGACUGUAAAUUCCACUUGGAGAAAACAAAAUCCUUUCUACUUAUUUAUUAUGGUCAUACCAGAAUGCCUAGAACAGUUCUUUGCAAUCACUUAGUUUUUUAAAUAAAUAAACAUUGCUCACAGGGAUAAGCUACUAGGAUGGCAGCAGAAACUUUCCUGUACCUCAGAACAUGAAAUUUGGUUUCCAUCUCCCAGGUUCCACAGACUGUAAUUCUUAGUAAACUCCCCCUGACUUCUGGCAAUU
Molecule: long non-coding RNA, 1752 nt
Filed under: Chinchilla lanigera (long-tailed chinchilla)
Lineage: Eukaryota; Metazoa; Chordata; Mammalia; Rodentia; Chinchillidae
Description: lncRNA (ENSCLAG00000028568.1)
Source: RNAcentral